CCUACGGGUGGCUGCAGUGGGGAAUAUUGGACGAUGGGGGCAACCCUGAUCCAGCCAUGCCGCGUGUGUGAAGAAGGCCCUCGGGUUGUAAAGCACUUUCAGUGAGGAAGAACGCCUGGUGGUUAAUACCCAUCAGGAAAGACAUCACUCACAGAAGAAGCACCGGCUAACUCCGUGCCAGCAGCCGCGGUAAUACGGAGGGUGCGAGCGUUAAUCGGAAUUACUGGGCGUAAAGCGCGCGUAGGUGGCUUGAUAAGCCGGUUGUGAAAGCCCCGGGCUCAACCUGGGAACGGCAUCCGGAACUGUCAAGCUAGAGUGCAGGAGAGGAAGGUAGAAUUCCCGGUGUAGCGGUGAAAUGCGUAGAGAUCGGGAGGAAUACCAGUGGCGAAGGCGGCCUUCUGGACUGACACUGACACUGAGGUGCGAAAGCGUGGGUAGCAAACAGGAUUAGAUACCCGAGUAGUC
Molecule: ribosomal RNA, 465 nt
Filed under: Vreelandella stevensii
Lineage: Bacteria; Pseudomonadati; Pseudomonadota; Gammaproteobacteria; Oceanospirillales; Halomonadaceae
Description: partial 16S ribosomal RNA
Rfam family: Bacterial small subunit ribosomal RNA
Source: RNAcentral